ACCAUCUGUUCAUCAUGUGGACAGAACUUGAGAGAAAUAGGUAAAUGACAGUGGUCAAAGAGCCACUGACUGAGUUCUAGAAAGAAAUUUGAAUUGCCUAAGGAAGAUGGGAAUGUUUUUUGACUGUCACUGUUUGUUCCAAAAAUAGUUGGGUGUUUUACGAAGCAUUUGCUUAGAUCAUGCAAUUAGUGUGCCCCAUAUUUGUCCUUUGAAUGUACUGUGUGGUAAUGUUAUUGUUUAGUGUCAUGGCUAUAAACUAUUUGCUAUUUAUGUGCAUAAAUCAGUUUGGCGUUAUAUAUGUCAUGAUAGCCUAACAUCGUUAGUUUGUAACUGUUGCUAUAUUGAUUUAAAAAUCCUAUAUAAUAAAAACAUAAUAUGUUAAGUAGGGAGGGGACUAUCAUUAGAGCCUGUUAGUUUUUU
Pipistrellus kuhlii (Kuhl's pipistrelle) is the source of this 420-nucleotide long non-coding RNA. RefSeq lists it as uncharacterized. The record is from RefSeq and is a predicted model, not a curated record. Lineage: Eukaryota; Metazoa; Chordata; Mammalia; Chiroptera; Vespertilionidae. The transcript has 2 exons.